Molecule: ribosomal RNA, 500 nt
Filed under: uncultured eukaryote
Lineage: Eukaryota
Description: SSU rRNA
Rfam family: Eukaryotic small subunit ribosomal RNA
Source: RNAcentral
AACCUAAGUCUAAUCCAUGCAUGUCUACGUAUAAAUAACUACACAGUAAAACUGCGAAUGGCUCAUUUAAACAGUUAUAGUUUAUUUGAUAUAUUAUAUGGAUAACUGUAAAAAAACUAGAGCUAAUACAUGCCAUAACCGUAAGGUUGUAUUUAUUACAUAUCCCUGGUAGGUGAUUCAUAAUAACUUAGCGAAUCGUGACUCGUUCACGAUAAAUCAUUCAAGUUUCUGCCCUAUCAUGCUUUCGAUGGUAGUGUAUUGGACUACCAUGGCUCUCACGGGUAACGGAGAAUUAGGGUUCGAUUCCGGAGAAGGAGCCUGAGAAACGGCUACUACAUCUAAGGAAGGCAGCAGGCGCGUAAAUUACCCAAUCCUGAUUCAGGGAGGUAGUGACAAGAUAUAACAACGUGAAGUCAAAUUCGCGAUUGUAGUGAGGUUAUUCCAAACCGAAAUUCGAGUACGAUUGGAGGAUAAGUCUUGGUGCCAGCACCCGCGGUAAU